Non-coding RNA from Petromyzon marinus (sea lamprey), 736 nucleotides. The record is from RefSeq and is a predicted model, not a curated record. Lineage: Eukaryota; Metazoa; Chordata; Hyperoartia; Petromyzontiformes; Petromyzontidae.
UUCUCUCUCUCUCUGUCUCUCAGUCUAUCACCACCGUGGUUUAUCCACUGUUGGAUGAAGAUCACUGUGGUGAUGGUGGUGAUGAUGAUGAUGAGGAUGUCUCUGAUCCAAGUGAUCCUCGAUCACUCUCGUACAGCUAUUUGCCAUUCUGGAUUAAACAUGAAAAAAAAUCAUUCGCCUUCCUCAUUUAUCAAAGUCUCUUUAAUUAAGUUGGGCAUUCUAAAGCCUCUUAGCCGCCCUUUUUUAUUGUUAUUUCGCGUAUUUAUUGUGUUGUUGCGUGUUGUUGUGUGUGUGUGUGUUCUCCGUUGCUGGCAAAUGAUUUAGAAGCAGCGUGAAGCAGAAUUCGCGGACUAAUCCAUCGUAUUCGUGUGGCAACAUUGUGAGUGUACGGGGAGUUGAGAUUACGCGGGGAUCUGAGAGGUACCCUGAGGUGCGUGACGUCAUUUAUGGGCGCCCCCUUUCUCUUGAAGUUUGCGUUGAAGAUGUUCAAACGCCACAACGGGAAUCUCAUUGUGCGUGACGUCAUUUAUGGACGGCCCCUAAGGCAGUGACUUGCCCUACCCCCGCCUACGCAUCUUCGUUCACAGCAUAGUUUAAUUUCAUAGUUGUUUCAUUUAUGUUGGUAUAUCCCUGUGAGCCACUCGGCUCUUGAAUCGGGUGCGACCGCUUCAAACAAAAAAAAACUAAAACAUGAACAAGAAAAAAACAUCUUAGAGUGAUAUCCUUUGGUUCUCUC